Molecule: ribosomal RNA, 277 nt
Filed under: uncultured bacterium
Lineage: Bacteria
Description: partial 16S ribosomal RNA
Rfam family: Bacterial small subunit ribosomal RNA
Source: RNAcentral
GAUGAACGCUGGCGGCGUGCCUAAUACAUGCAAGUCGAGCGAACGGACGAGAAGCUUGCUUCUCUGAUGUUAGCGGCGGACGGGUGAGUAACACGUGGAUAACCUACCUAUAAGACUGGGAUAACUUCGGGAAACCGGAGCUAAUACCGGAUAAUAUUUUGAACCGCAUGGUUCAAAAGUGAAAGACGGUCUUGCUGUCACUUAUAGAUGGAUCCGCGCUGCAUUAGCUAGUUGGUAAGGUAACGGCUUACCAAGGCAACGAUGCAUAGCCGACCUG